UACGGAGGAUCCGAGCGUUAUCCGGAAUCAUUGGGUUUAAAGGGUCCGCAGGCGGGCCAGUAAGUCAGUGGUGAAAUCUCUCAGCUCAACUGGGAAACUGCCAAUGAUACUGCUGGUCUUGAAUUCGGUCGAAGUGGGCGGAACGUGUCAUGUAGCGGUGAAAUGCAUAGAUAUGACACAGAACACCGAUAGCGAAGGCAGCUCACUAGGCCUGAAUUGACGCUCAGGGACGAAAGCGUGGGGAGCGAACAGG
Molecule: unclassified non-coding RNA, 253 nt
Filed under: uncultured Flavobacteriales bacterium
Lineage: Bacteria; Pseudomonadati; Bacteroidota; Flavobacteriia; Flavobacteriales
Description: contains 16S-23S intergenic spacer region
Rfam family: Bacterial small subunit ribosomal RNA
Source: RNAcentral